This is a non-coding RNA of Schistosoma mattheei, 46 nucleotides long. The record is from Rfam. NCBI's taxonomy places the organism in Eukaryota, Metazoa, Platyhelminthes, Trematoda, Strigeidida, Schistosomatidae.
GCACUGCUGAGGAGUUCCACAAUAGGACGAAACGGCCGCCCGGUGC